UGACAUUGCUAACAGACUUUAGAUAAAGGGAAUGGGAAGAGGACUUUGUGUUCCAUCAUUGCAAUAGGUUUAGAGAUACAAUUAUCUGCCCAAGUUCACUUCCUAUGAAGCUUCGCGGUAAUUAAAAAAAACAUGGCGGACAAUAGCAGUGGUUUCUGGCAACUCCAGCCCCAGCAGUGAAAAUGAAAUGGUCUUCCAGGUACCAGCCAAGUGGUUGAUACAGCUUCUGCACAUAUUCUUAGUUCAACCUGUCAACCUGGACAUCAUGGAUAGAGCCAGGCAGACCACUGAAGAUAUUUAAGAAGAGGUCUUUCUGGUCAUGGAUGGACUAUCGUUACGUUGAGUGGACAGGACACCUUGUUUGUUGCCAUAUAUAUCGGAAGAUACAUGGCAUAAGGCAGGAGUACCUGACAGAUGGGAGAACCCUGCCUCCAGCCUCAAGCUCAUCAUCAGAGGGAAGGUGCACUGCCUGUUUCUGAAUGCUGAGAAUUCCCUCUGCAAUUUGAUGGACAAUUCCAUGGACAGUUGUCAUAGUGCAGAGUGCGAAUCCACUCCUAUGACUGACAUCAUGGAUAUCCAGUGAAUGGGAAACUGACCAGAUCCCAUUGUGCUGCCAGCUGUGCGGGCCAAAAAUCAGACCGAAGCAGUUGGCGUGACAGUGAUUUCUCGCAUGGCAUUGCAUGGGCUGAUGCAUGGUGACAGAUCGCAGAGUGGUCUUUGUUGGGGAAACCAGGACAGACCGACAGGGAGAAACUGAUGCCAAGAGCUGCCCAAGAGCCUCUCUUAAAGACAUAGGAAGGGCAUCAAUCUGUCUCCAGAAAACUGGCGAUAUGUUUCAUUUUUUUCCCCCAACCCCAAGAAAAUACUCAGCAGAUAUGUCGGUGUGUCUUUUUCAACUUGUGAAUUGUGACACACAGUCCCCGUUUGGCAGGCUGAACUUUGUUGAAAAGACUACAUUUCCUGACAGCGCCUUCAUUAAGACUGAUGGAAUGUGAACUGAAGCUCUAUGGUUCCCCUCCAUUGAAACCAUAUGUGCACUUUUUGUCAGUCUCUCUGAUUGAUACCGAAAUGUUUAGACAGCAAUUAUAGGUAUUUUCAAAAGAGAUUUUUUUCCUCAAAAUCAGGAAGAUGCCUUUUCUUUGUUGGCCAGUUCUGAAAAAAAAAUAAACCAUCAUGAGGCUCA
Long non-coding RNA from Clupea harengus (Atlantic herring), 1183 nucleotides. The record is from Ensembl. NCBI's taxonomy places the organism in Eukaryota, Metazoa, Chordata, Actinopteri, Clupeiformes, Clupeidae.